Molecule: ribosomal RNA, 427 nt
Filed under: uncultured bacterium
Lineage: Bacteria
Description: bacterial SSU rRNA
Rfam family: Bacterial small subunit ribosomal RNA
Source: RNAcentral
UGGGGAAUUUUGGACAAUGGGCGCAAGCCUGAUCCAGCCAUGCCGCGUGCAGGAUGAAGGCCUUCGGGUUGUAAACUGCUUUUGUACGGAACGAAAAGCCCUUCUCUAAUACAGAGGGGUCAUGACGGUACCGUAAGAAUAAGCACCGGCUAACUACGUGCCAGCAGCCGCGGUAAUACGUAGGGUGCAAGCGUUAAUCGGAAUUACUGGGCGUAAAGCGUGCGCAGGCGGCUUUGCAAGACAGAUGUGAAAUCCCCGGGCUCAACCUGGGAACUGCAUUUGUGACUGCAUGGCUAGAGUACGGUAGAGGGGGAUGGAAUUCCGCGUGUAGCAGUGAAAUGCGUAGAUAUGCGGAGGAACACCGACGGCGAAGGCAAUCCCCUGGACCUGUACUGGCGCUCAUGCACGAAAGCGUGGGGAGCAAACA